AACGAACGCUGGCGGCAUGCCUAACACAUGCAAGUCGAACGAAGCCUUCGGGCUUAGUGGCGCACGGGUGCGUAACGCGUGGGAAUCUGCCCCUCGGUUCGGAAUAACAGUUAGAAAUGACUGCUAAUACCGGAUGAUGACGAAAGUCCAAAGAUUUAUCGCCGAGGGAUGAGCCCGCGUAGGAUUAGCUUGUUGGUGGGGUAAUGGCCCACCAAGGCGACGAUCCUUAGCUGGUCUGAGAGGAUGAUCAGCCACACUGGGACUGAGACACGGCCCAGACUCCUACGGGAGGCAGCAGUGGGGAAUAUUGGACAAUGGGCGAAAGCCUGAUCCAGCAAUGCCGCGUGAGUGAUGAAGGCCUUAGGGUUGUAAAGCUCUUUUACCUAGGGAUGAUAAUGACAGUACCUGGAGAAUAAGCUCCGGCUAACUCCGUG
This 434-nucleotide ribosomal RNA is filed under the name uncultured bacterium. RNAcentral describes it as "bacterial SSU rRNA". It matches the Rfam family "Bacterial small subunit ribosomal RNA", at positions 29 to 507 of the family's 1533-position model. The record is from RNAcentral.